CGCAUUUGAUAGACAUCCGUGGCACCCAAUAAACGGAUCUGGGCAUUUUUUUCAAAUACGAGAAAAUGAACGUUUGGUUCCCAGACCACGUCUCAUUGAGAAGUGGUGGCGCUAGCCAGGCUAGUAUAAAGUGCUAAUGAUGUACCGUGUUUCAUUCAUACAUAAAUACACUUACUUGGUUACAUUUUUCAUUCUCCCUCAUUUUCAUUCUUGUCCCUGAGGCAAAAAGAAAAUGAUUGAAAAAUGAUUUUGACUUUAUUUAUUUAUCUAUGGUACAACAUUGGUACUUUGUACUAAUGCCCAUACACUGAGCUACUUUCACAUAUUUUCAAGUGCCUACCCCACAUAUAAUUUUAAUUCUAUGAAAAUGACGAAAAACACAACCUUCCCCUUCUUAAAAUCCAUUAUAUGUAGACAACUCAAUUAUUGCUACAACAUUAUGAAAGCAUAGUAUGAAAAUAAAAAAAUAAUGAUUGAUACCAAAUGCAUACAAAAACAAGUUUAUACUACCCUUAAGGUCACUGGUUUUGCACUUUUUUUCCCAAAUCUAUAGCCUUGUAGAAAAUCAAAGAGAAUGUCUUACACACUUUUAAUGAUUCAGUCAUACUGAAAACAUUUCAGUUUUGGUAUCUUCCACCCUAAAAACGUUUAGGCUGCCUACAAGGGCGUAGGUUUGGUCUACCAUUUCAGUCAAAAAGUGUUUCACACAUCUCAAAUAUUGGUUAAUUGUCAUAGUUACCUGAAAAAAUACACUUGUUGAAUGAUUUCAAUGCAACUUUACUAAAAAUGUCUGGUUUGCUGAUUUAAGAGACACAUUCAAAAAUGAUGAAAGAAACCAUGAGGCCAGUAAUCGCGCUGUUCUUCGCACUGAUGGUGAUGAGUGCACUAGUGUGCAAUGUCUACGCUGGAUGUGAGAAUGGGAGGUGUUAUCGGAAAUGCACUAACGAUGAAUAUAUAGGCCAUCGUUUAUACUGUGGUGGUGGAAAUGUAUGCUGUGUUUAAAAAGGAGAUUUAAAAAAGGAUUUGGGCCACUGCGAUCGCUGAACCGUGGUGAAAAACAUUAACCUUUUAAGAUGGACUUGUGGAUCAAGCAAUGUGCACAAUUGUUGACAAUAUUUUUUAUAAUUUUUUUAUAAAUGCAUUUAUUUAACAUACACAAGCUGUAAUGGGCCUUCCCAUAACAAAUGAAGACUGGAACCAAAUCAAAGCACUGUGGUGACUGCAACUCUGAUAUUUUGAAAAAUGUGACCACUUUUAAACAGAGGCAGAUACAAACUGCUAGACUAACACUCUGACAAUAACAAGGGGAAACCGUGGUCGAGGUGCUACACCAACAGCCAACUGCAUGGCCCUUUAAUACACAAGAUAGAAAAUAGUAGCCAAGGAAACCGCCAACAGGAGUAGAGUAUUAAACAUAUCAAGUAUUCCCAUGGUGUACAGUCACGACUCGAUAAAAAACGUUUACUGAAAUGGUGCUGAUUAUUGCUGGGAGUCAGUCGUUUGAGCAGCAAUGGGCAACUUGUGUACCAAACAAUUAGAGCACCCCUUUGUUGUUUUACAAAUCCAGUAAAAUGCAAGAGGAGGUGAAGAUACACACAUAUCAACCUAAAACCGCACCUAUCAUUCGGUUAGUGAGUCAAUUAUUAGUAUAA
Molecule: long non-coding RNA, 1652 nt
Organism: Alosa sapidissima (American shad)
Lineage: Eukaryota; Metazoa; Chordata; Actinopteri; Clupeiformes; Clupeidae
Exons: 3
Source: RefSeq, a predicted model, not a curated record